AGCUCCAAUAGCGUAUAUUAAAGUUGUUGCAGUUAAAAAGCUCGUAGUUGGAUCUCGGGUACUAGCAUGUGGUACGCAUAACUGCUGUUACUACAUGUCUGGUCCUAAUCAAUCGGUUGGCCGUUGAUGUCCUUCAUUGGGUGUUUUCGGUAGCCGGUACGUUUACUUUGAGAAAAUUAGAGUGCUUAAAGCAGGCUAUAGGCCUGAAUAAUGUUGCAUGGAAUAAUAGAAUAGGACCUCGGUUCGAUUUAGUUGGUUUGGUAGAGCAUUGAGGUAAUGAUUAAUAGGGACAGACGGGGGCAUUCGAAUUGCGGUGUUAGAGGUGAAAUUCUUGGAUCGCCGCAAGACGAACAACUGCGAAAGCAUUUGCCAAGAAUGUUUUCA
Molecule: ribosomal RNA, 384 nt
Filed under: marine Metazoa environmental sample
Lineage: Eukaryota; Metazoa
Description: SSU rRNA
Rfam family: Eukaryotic small subunit ribosomal RNA
Source: RNAcentral